RNAcentral lists this small RNA (519 nucleotides) under Histoplasma capsulatum var. duboisii H88. Its description in RNAcentral is "Histoplasma capsulatum H88 hypothetical RNA". Lineage: Eukaryota; Fungi; Ascomycota; Eurotiomycetes; Onygenales; Ajellomycetaceae. The record is from RNAcentral.
AAGUGUGUUGGGGGAAGUUAAGCCAGCACUAGUCCCACAGUUUGCUGAUGCACCUCCUGCAAUAGUAACUAAUAAUAAUACAGAGUAUAAUAAUAAUAAUGAUAAUGAUAAUGAUGUGAUUCCCCUCACUAGAAGGGGCUGGAUCUGGAUCAAAAAUGUGGAACUCUGCGUGUGGUUCCACUACGCCCGUCCGAUUGAAGUCUGAAGGAGAAACAGGAUUAACAGAGCUUAUCAUCGGACUGAAUAGUUCCUGAAUUUCCUCUUGACUGCCUCUUAAUACCCUCGGCCAGUGCAGGAAAUCAAAAUAUAUGUCUAUCCUCCUUGACUUCAAUUUGUUCCACUUAGUAGGAGACUCUGUCGACUAGGUUCAUAAAAUGCAAAACGGGAUGCAGCAAGGAGCGUAUUGCUGACAAAAUUAGGAAGCAUUAAGAAACUAACGGAACAUAAUAUGUGGCCCCAAUCUAUGUAAGGGUGACAACGAAGGAAAAGAAUAGUAGUGAGGAAUCUAAUAGCACAAAA